GUGCCAGCCGCCGCGGUAAUACGUAGGGGGCGAGCGUUGUCCGGAAUUACUGGGCGUAAAGCGCACGUAGGUGGUACGUCAAGUUCGGCGUGAAAUCUCCAGGCUCAACUUGGAGGGGUCGUCGAAGACUGGCGAACUAGGGUCUGGCAGAGGCAGGUAGAAUUCCCGGUGGAGCGGUGAAAUGCGUAGAGAUCGGGAGGAAUACCAGUGGCGAAGGCGGCCUGCUGGGCCACGACCGACACUGAGGUGCGAAAGCGUGGGGAGCGAACCGGAUUAGAUACCCGGGUAGUCCACGCCCUAAACGAUGGGUACUAGGCGUGGGGGGUAUCGACCCCCUCUGUGCCGAAGCUAACGCGAGAAGUACCCCGCCUGGGGAGUACGGCCGCAAGGUUGAA
RNAcentral lists this ribosomal RNA (395 nucleotides) under uncultured bacterium. RNAcentral's name for it is "bacterial SSU rRNA". It matches the Rfam family "Bacterial small subunit ribosomal RNA", at positions 505 to 898 of the family's 1533-position model. The record is from RNAcentral.